This 465-nucleotide ribosomal RNA is filed under the name uncultured bacterium. RNAcentral describes it as "partial 16S ribosomal RNA". It matches the Rfam family "Bacterial small subunit ribosomal RNA", at positions 338 to 795 of the family's 1533-position model. The record is from RNAcentral.
CCUACGGGAGGCAGCAGUGGGGAAUAUUGCGCAAUGGGCGAAAGCCUGACGCAGCGACGCCGCGUGAGGGAUGAAGGUCUUCGGAUCGUAAACCUCUGUCAGCAGGGAAGAACGGUCACUGUGCUAAUCAGCAGUGAAUUGACGGUACCUGCAAAGGCAGCACCCGCUAACUCCGUGCCAGCAGCCGCGGUAAUACGGAGGGUGCGAGCGUUAAUCGGAAUUACUGGGCGUAAAGCGCUCGUAGGCGGUAUGUCAAGUCAAGGGUGAAAUCCCCGCGCGCAACGUGGGAACUGCAUUUGAAACUGGCAGACUGGAGUGUGUGAGAGGAUAGUGGAAUUCCAGGUGUAGGAGUGAAAUCCGUAGAUAUCAGGAGGAACAUCAGUGGCGAAGGCGACUAUCUGGCACAUAACUGACGCUGAGGAGCGAAAGCGUGGGUAGCAAACAGGAUUAGAUACCCGAGUAGUC